This 2011-nucleotide long non-coding RNA is filed under the name Homo sapiens (human). RNAcentral's name for it is "non-protein coding lnc-KRTAP5-7-1:2". Lineage: Eukaryota; Metazoa; Chordata; Mammalia; Primates; Hominidae. The record is from RNAcentral.
GUUACUGGGCUGUGUCCCCCAAUUACAGGGCAAUGUCCCCUCAUAGUGUCUCCCAGUUAUACAGUAUUGUCCCCCCAUUAUAAGGUAGUAUCCCCAGUUACUAGAUAGUGUCCCCCAGUAACAGGAUAAUGUCCCCCAAUUGCAGGGCAAUGUCCCCCAUUAUAGUGUCCCCAAGUUAUAAGCUGGAGUCCCCCAGUAACAGGAUAAUAGGAUAGUGUUCCCCAGUACAGGGCAGUGUCCCCAGUUACUCACUAGUGUCCCCUAGUAACAGGGCAGUGUCCACCCAGAUACAGCCUAGUGUCCCUCAGUUACACAAUAGUGUGUCCCCCAGUGGUAGGACAGUCUACUACUGAGUCCUCCUGGCAUGAGUCGAGCUGAGAUUAGGAUAGGGUAAUGACCCUUCAGUUUUGGGGAAGGGACCAGAGCUCGGCCAGUGAGAAGCUUCCAGCUCCGUCUGGCCAUAUCCAGGCUGCUGAGGGUCCUGGGCUCUGUCCUUAAACCUCAUCACUGACAUGACCCAGCAAACCUCCUCAAGAGGAAAAAGUCCCCUUGGGUCAAACACAGCUUGUGCAGUUCUCGGGGACCUCCUCCUGCCAUCCUGGGGAUGCUGUGGAGAAUGGAGAUGCACAGGGGGCUUUGUCCUCUCCUCUGCCUUUUGGAGAAAAUAUUUCACUCAAGGCAAACGCAGCCUGAGGGCAGCACAGGGGACCCCAAGGCUCACUGCGCAUUUCUAGUCGCCCCCAAACGCGUGGGUUUUCCUCCUGUUCUCCUCGUGGGUGCCUUUGCUCAUUCUCAUCCUCCUGUUCUCAUCCAGUCUGCCCAGUCUGACCGGCUCCCAGCAGCAUCCGCCCAAAAGUUUCUCCCAUGACAGCAGGAAGCAGCCUCAGACAAUACAUGAUGGACAGGCCUGGCUGUGUUCCAAUAGAACCCCGAGUCAGUCAGCCCGAGCCUCCCUCUCAGCUGGAUACUGUUAAUGACAGGGGUACACAUUCCCCUCCCCUUUCCAAUGUUUUAAAACUCUAGGACAGUGAUUCUCAAACACUUUGGUCUCAAAACCCCUAAGAGCAUUUGCUUAUGUGGCUUUUAUCUGUUGAUAGUUGCUACCUGAGAAAUUAAAACUGAGAAAUCUAAAAAUAGAUUUAUUUUAGGAAGUCACUAAAAAUAAUAAGCCCAUUGCAUGUUAACAUGAAAUAGCAUAUUUUUACAAAAAAAUAAAUUUUCUAAAAACAAAACAUCUAAGUGAGAAGAGUGGCAUUGUUGUACUUGUUUUGCAAAUCUUUUCAGUGUCCGGUUUAUGAGAUGACAGCACUUUGGUUUGUUGCCAACCAUUCACUUAUAAAGAAACCCUUUUCCAAUAAUUAGCUGGGGCUGGUGCUAGAGCAAUACCAGAAGUUCAGCGAUGUCUGUAGAUUUGUCCAAAUGUAUGUGAAGAGACUGUGUUUACUCAGUUUUUAUGUUUGCAGUUAAAUCUUCAAUUUGAUGAGUUAUUUUAUCAUUGCAAAGUGGCAGUGUCAGGGUUUCCUUUAUUGACUUAUCCAGCAGGCAUUCAGCUAUAUCAACUCUACAUAUGAAGUAAGGAGUUGAAUUAAGCAGAGUAGUUAAUAAAAAGCUUUUUUUUUUCAUGUUUUAAAAAUGUGACGUUGUCAGGCCUCUGAGCCCAAGCUAAGCCAUCAUGUCCUCUGUAACCUGCACGUACACAUCCAGAUGGCCGGUUCCUGCCUUAACUGAUGACAUUCCACCACAAAAGAAGUGAAAAUGGCCUGUUCCUGCCUUAACUGAUGACACUAUCUUGUGAAAUUCCUUCUCCUGGCUCAUCCUGGCUCAAAAGCUCCCCUACUGAGCACCUUGUGACCUCCACUCCUGUCUGCCAGAGAACAACCCCCCUUUGACUGUAAUUUUCCUUUACCUACCCAAAUCUUAUAAAACGGCCCCACCCCUAUCUCCUUUCGCUGACUCUUUUCAGACUCAGCCCGCCUGCACCCAGGUGAAAUAAACAGCCUUGUUGCUCACA